Molecule: ribosomal RNA, 214 nt
Filed under: uncultured bacterium
Lineage: Bacteria
Description: partial 16S ribosomal RNA
Rfam family: Bacterial small subunit ribosomal RNA
Source: RNAcentral
GGAACCUGCCUUGGAGAGGGGGAUAACACUCCGAAAGGAGUGCUAAUACCGCAUGAUGCAGUUGGGUCGCAUGGCUCUGACUGCCAAAGAUUUAUCGCUCUGAGAUGGCCUCGCGUCUGAUUAGCUAGUAGGCGGGGUAACGGCCCACCUAGGCGACGAUCAGUAGCCGGACUGAGAGGUUGACCGGCCACAUUGGGACUGAGACACGGCCCAG